This is a long non-coding RNA of Falco peregrinus (peregrine falcon), 355 nucleotides long. RefSeq lists it as uncharacterized. Lineage: Eukaryota; Metazoa; Chordata; Aves; Falconiformes; Falconidae. The record is from RefSeq and is a predicted model, not a curated record. The transcript is spliced from 3 exons.
UACAGCCUCUAGGUAUUACUGGGAGGUACUCUCUUGCUCCAGACAGCUGAAGUGAAACUUUCAGCCUUUUGAACAGGUCUGGUAGUGAAGGGUCUGACCAUGUGAAAUUUCUUUGUAAGAUGGGAGUAGGACUGCUUCUUCAUUAAAUCAUAAAUGGGAAACACUGCUCUAGCUUUCCACGCUUGUAGAAUAAGAGAAUUCAACAUGUAUUUGGAUGGAGUGAAGCAAAGAUCCACUGAAGAAUUCAAAUAUGUCUUCUAGGCCUGUGUUAAAGCUCCAAGAAUUUCCCAUUCUUCCAGAGGAACUUGUUACAGCACUGAGAAUUACAUCUUCCUGGCGGAAUAUUUUGCUAACU